UGGGGAAUAUUGCGCAAUGGGGGGAACCCUGACGCAGCCAUGCCGCGUGAAUGAAGAAGGCCUUCGGGUUGUAAAGUUCUUUCGGUAUUGAGGAAGGUUGAUGUGUUAAUAGCACAUCAAAUUGACGUUAAAUACAGAAGAAGCACCGGCUAACUCCGUGCCAGCAGCCGCGGUAAUACGGAGGGUGCGAGCGUUAAUCGGAAUAACUGGGCGUAAAGGGCACGCAGGCGGUUAUUUAAGUGAGGUGUGAAAGCCCUGGGCUUAACCUAGGAAUUGCAUUUCAGACUGGGUAACUAGAGUACUUUAGGGAGGGGUAGAAUUCCACGUGUAGCGGUGAAAUGCGUAGAGAUGUGGAGGAAUACCGAAGGCGAAGGCAGCCCCUUGGGAAUGUACUGACGCUCAUGUGCGAAAGCGUGGGGAGCAAACAGGAUUAGCUACCCUGGUAGUCCACGCUGUAAACGCUGUCGAUUUGGGGGUUGGGGUUUAACUCUGGCGCCCGUAGCUAACGUGAUAAAUCGACCGCCUGGGGAGUACGGCCGCAAGGUUA
Molecule: ribosomal RNA, 547 nt
Filed under: uncultured bacterium
Lineage: Bacteria
Description: bacterial SSU rRNA
Rfam family: Bacterial small subunit ribosomal RNA
Source: RNAcentral